Molecule: unclassified non-coding RNA, 234 nt
Filed under: Glycyrrhiza uralensis (Chinese licorice)
Lineage: Eukaryota; Viridiplantae; Streptophyta; Magnoliopsida; Fabales; Fabaceae
Description: ITS1
Source: RNAcentral
UCGAUGCCUUGCAAGCAGUCCAACCUGUGAAUCAGUUUGACUACAUCGGGUUGGAUUGGGGUGUGCAACACCUCAACCUCCCUUGGGUUAGGAGGGGGCCACGCACUGUGUUCUCUCCUCUUAGCCAAAACACAAACCCCGGCGCUGAAUGCGCCAAGGAACUAAAAUUCGUUCAGUGCGCCCCCGCCGGCCCGGAGACGGUGCUCGUGCGGGUGGCGUUUUGACACGUGAUGC